This 232-nucleotide ribosomal RNA is filed under the name Glomus sp. (unid). The record is from RNAcentral. Lineage: Eukaryota; Fungi; Glomeromycota; Glomeromycetes; Glomerales; Glomeraceae.
CAGUCGUACCGGCGGGUAAUCAGCCUUUCGGGUAUGAUUCUGUGGAGUGUGGGGGAGCUAAACACCCUCAUGCCUGCAUAUUCGUGCUCUUGGGUGUACUUGCUCGUGUGGUUGGUUAACAUCAAUUUCGGUCGGCAUAAAAUGAUUAGAGGAAUGUAGCUUUGAUCUCGUAUCGAAGUUGUUAUAGCCUCUGGUAGAUGUGACGAUUGGGAUUGGAGGAUUGCAACGGAUA